CAGCAGUCGCCACGGGAAUACAGAGGGUGCGAGCGUUAAUCGGAUUUACUGGGCGUAAAGCGUGCGUAGGCGGCUUCUUAAGUCGGAUGUGAAAUCCCUGAGCUUAACUUAGGAAUUGCAUUCGAUACUGGGAAGCUAGAGUAUGGGAGAGGAUGGUAGAAUUCCAGGUGUAGCGGUGAAAUGCGUAGAGAUCUGGAGGAAUACCGAUGGCGAAGGCAGCCAUCUGGCCUAAUACUGACGCUGAGGUACGAAAGCAUGGGGAGCAAACAGGAUUAGAUACCCCAGUAGUCCCUGUCUCUUAUAC
RNAcentral lists this ribosomal RNA (304 nucleotides) under uncultured bacterium. RNAcentral describes it as "partial 16S ribosomal RNA". It matches the Rfam family "Bacterial small subunit ribosomal RNA", at positions 506 to 807 of the family's 1533-position model. The record is from RNAcentral.